UGUUCAACGCGCGUCAUCUGUUUUACACGCUGUGUUAAUAAUACAAAUAUGUUGAUGUACGCUGUGUUUGCGAUUUAGUUAAACUGUUCAUCGUCCACUGUUGCUCGAUGGAAACUGCUUACAUCACCUAUGCUAUGUUCAUUAUUGGAUAGAGUUUUUGCUGAUGCUGUCUGAUAUAAUUGAUAGUCGUUUAACCUUCUAUAUUUUAAAUUAGCUCAAAUAUGAGAACGCAGCCGAUAACAAUCGUCAGCCCGUCCGAUUUUGCAGACUUCGAACAAUGGUUGAAGGGAUAUAAACCGACGAAAUAAAUCACAACACAAAUUCGGGCUAACAGCAGUUUUGGAACAUACCACAUUAAAAGGACCACCGCAACUGUUACCUAUCAGGAUCGCAGAACCCGACUGCUGAUCUCAAAUUUGAAGAUUAACAAUUCAUUGGAACAUGGAAUAACUAUAUUGGAAAAUACGUCAGAUCAAGCUGAGAAUGAAUACAUGUUUUGUGGGGAGAAAAUCGGUAACUGGAAGUGGACCCUCUCAAGCAGUGAUGAAUUUCACAAAAUGUUCAAAAUACCACGACCGGCAUCGAACCAUGGACGUCCAUCAUUCGCUGCCUGAUACUAGAGCUUACAGAUUACUCGUCUGAGCUACUCAUCCGUUGUCAGAUAUGUUAUUAGGUGGUAUUUCGACAAUUGUAAUAUGUAAUGACAAAUAGUGAAUGAUCUCUUUUUUUAUGUUUUUAAAGAUUCUAUUUGAUGUGUACAGUGUUUGUGUUGCAUUCUAAAAUAAACCGCAAAUAAAUUUCAUGUCAAUUUUAAAUCUUCUAAGCCAAUCUUUUAACUAUAGUUGUCUUGUAAGCAGUAAUAGUUACA
Long non-coding RNA from Bolinopsis microptera, 868 nucleotides. RefSeq lists it as uncharacterized. The transcript is spliced from 3 exons. Lineage: Eukaryota; Metazoa; Ctenophora; Tentaculata; Lobata; Bolinopsidae. The record is from RefSeq and is a predicted model, not a curated record.